GACGAACGCUGGCGGCGCGCCUAACACAUGCAAGUCGAACGAGCGAGAGAGAGCUUGCUUUCUCGAGCGAGUGGCGAACGGGUGAGUAACGCGUGAGGAACCUGCCUCAAAGAGGGGGACAACAGUUGGAAACGACUGCUAAUACCGCAUAAGACCACGGUGCCGCAUGGCACAGAUGGAAAAGGAGCGAUCUGCUUUGAGAUGUCCGCGCGUCCGAUUAGCUAGUUGGUGUGGUAAUGGUCCAGCAAUGCGACGGCAGGUAGCCGGAAUGAGAGGUUGAACGGACACAUUGGGAGUGGGACACAGCCCAGACUCCUACGGGAGGCAGCAGUGGGUAAUAUUGCACAAUGGGGGAAACCCUGAUGCAGCGACGCCGCGUAGAGGAAGAAGGUCUUCGGAUUGUAAACUCCUGUUGUUGGGGAAGAUAAUGACGGUACCCAACAAGGAAGUGACGGCUAACUACGUA
RNAcentral lists this ribosomal RNA (466 nucleotides) under uncultured bacterium. Its description in RNAcentral is "partial 16S ribosomal RNA". It matches the Rfam family "Bacterial small subunit ribosomal RNA", at positions 28 to 507 of the family's 1533-position model. The record is from RNAcentral.